GCUGGACAUGGUGGCGCAUGCCUGUAAUCCCAGCAACUCAGGGGGCUGAGGCAGGAGGAUUGUGAGUUCAAGGCCAGCCUCAGCAAUGUAGUGAGGCCCUAAGCAGCUUAGCAAGACCUGUCUUAA
RNAcentral lists this small RNA (126 nucleotides) under Marmota monax (woodchuck). The record is from RNAcentral. Lineage: Eukaryota; Metazoa; Chordata; Mammalia; Rodentia; Sciuridae.